Long non-coding RNA from Adelges cooleyi (spruce gall adelgid), 544 nucleotides. RefSeq lists it as uncharacterized. The transcript has 3 exons. The record is from RefSeq and is a predicted model, not a curated record. NCBI's taxonomy places the organism in Eukaryota, Metazoa, Arthropoda, Insecta, Hemiptera, Adelgidae.
UCCAAAGUAAGUUCGAAGUUUUUUAAAUUGUAAAACUAUUUAUGACGAAAUUACCUAAUAGUCAAUUUCUCGUAGGAUAAACUGGAUUUCCUUCAUCCAAUAGUGCACGAAAUGCGUUUCACAAAAUUUCAACUCGUAGUGAAUGAGUCGUAUGGAACGGUAUUUGAGGCUACAUUUAAGCAGUAUUAUGACAAACAAAUAGUUGAUGUACACAUGUUCUUCAGAAAACAAGCCUUACUAUAUUCUAUGACUGUUGAAUUCAACAAAUGCAAAGAACAUUAUAUCGACUGCGUUAACGUUAGAACUUUUCAAGUUAAACAUAUGUGUAAUAACAUGAGAGCGUUAGCGUACUUUUUAAAAGUAGCUUAUAAAUCCCAAGAAUUUUCAUGUGAACUAAAAGGGGAUUACAUUUAUACGAAUGCGACAUUUGACAUGGAAAAUUUAAUUACAAUCUUAACAUCGCCAAUGUCUAAUUGGUGGGAUUAUUGUUAUAAAUUUAGAUUUGGAUUUUUUAACAUUGAUAACGAGAUGCUUUUAGAAAUGA